Molecule: ribosomal RNA, 465 nt
Filed under: uncultured bacterium
Lineage: Bacteria
Description: partial 16S ribosomal RNA
Rfam family: Bacterial small subunit ribosomal RNA
Source: RNAcentral
CUACGGGCCGCAGCAGUGGGGAAUAUUGCGCAAUGGGGGAAACCCUGACGCAGCAACGCCGUGUGAGGGAUGAAGGCCUUCGGGUCGUAAACCUCUGUCAGGCAGGACGAAACAUCUAAGCGUGAAUAAUGUUUAGAUCUGACGGUACUGCCAGAGGAAGUCCCGGCUAACUCCGUGCCAGCAGCCGCGGUAAUACGGAGGGGACAUACGUUGUUCGGAAUUAUUGGGCGUAAAGAGCGCGUAGGUGGUCAGAAAAGUCAGACGUGAAAGCCCUCUGCUUAACAGAGGAAGGGCGUUUGAAACUCUCUGACUUGAGUGUGGGAGAGGAGAGUGGAAUUCCCAGUGUAGCGGUGAAACGCGUAGAUAUUGGGAAGAACACCAGUGGCGUAGGCGGCUCUCUGGCCCAUUACUGACACUGAGGCGCGAAAGCUAGGGGAGCAAACGGGAUUAGAUACCCUUGUAGUC